GACGAACGCUGGCGGCGUGCUUAACACAUGCCAGUCGAACGGAAAGGCCCUGCUUUUGUGGGGUGCUCGAGUGGCGAACGGGUGAGUAACACGUGAGUAACCUGCCCUUGACUUUGGGAUAACUUCAGGAAACUGGGGCUAAUACCGGAUAGGAGCUCCUGCUGCAUGGUGGGGGUUGGAAAGUUUCGGCGGUUGGGGAUGGACUCGCGGCUUAUCAGCUUGUUGGUGGGGUAGUGGCUUACCAAGGCUUUGACGGGUAGCCGGCCUGGGAGGGUGACCGGCCACAUUGGGACUGAGAUACGGCCCAGACUCCUACGGGAGGCAGCAGUGGGGAAUAUUGCACAAUGGGCGGGAGCCUGAUGCAGCAACGCCGCGUGCGGGAUGACGGCCUUCGGGUUGUAAACCGCUUUCGCCUGUGACGAAGCGUGAGUGACGGUAAUGGGUAAAGAAGCACCGGCUAACUACGUG
RNAcentral lists this ribosomal RNA (468 nucleotides) under uncultured bacterium. Its description in RNAcentral is "partial 16S ribosomal RNA". It matches the Rfam family "Bacterial small subunit ribosomal RNA", at positions 28 to 507 of the family's 1533-position model. The record is from RNAcentral.